GCUUGUGGCCACACCGCCUUGAGUAUGCCCAAUCUCAUCUGAUCUUGGAAGCUAAGCAGGGUCAGGUUUGAUUGGUACUUAGAUGGGAAACCACCUGGGAACACCAGGUGCUGUAAGCU
Molecule: ribosomal RNA, 119 nt
Filed under: Amphilophus citrinellus (Midas cichlid)
Lineage: Eukaryota; Metazoa; Chordata; Actinopteri; Cichliformes; Cichlidae
Source: RNAcentral